UUGAUAGCACUGGUGUCUGAUCACCUCUGUUUAUCCACAGAACAGGUAUAGAAGAUGCAGCAACAAUGACACUUCCCCCAUAAUAUACCAUGUGGUUUUUCAGAAUCUGAACCAGCAGGGCUGUCUCUAAGGAUGUUUUCAGACAAGACACUCCCCAUACACCUCCCACCCAUUGUAAAU
Molecule: small RNA, 180 nt
Filed under: Sphenodon punctatus (tuatara)
Lineage: Eukaryota; Metazoa; Chordata; Lepidosauria; Sphenodontia; Sphenodontidae
Description: TUC338 (ENSSPUG00000015161.1)
Source: RNAcentral